This 834-nucleotide unclassified non-coding RNA is filed under the name Hevea brasiliensis (rubber tree). Lineage: Eukaryota; Viridiplantae; Streptophyta; Magnoliopsida; Malpighiales; Euphorbiaceae. The record is from RNAcentral.
GCAUUUCCUUCAUUGUGUGUUUAACUGUGUGUGAGGAUAUGAGAACCUGGUGUUUGCUUUUACUUAUUUUCUUGAGCUGCUAGUAUGGCUGAUCUAAGGCAGCAUAACUAUUGGCUAAACUGAUGUAUGUCUUGGACUUAGUCGUUUGCUUGGACUUCUUUUCCUAAGCGUUGCCAGAGGUUUUCAAGUACUUGAUGAUUAUCAUUGUAGGGUACUGGAAACAUGAACUUCAAGUACGUUAGAUUUGAACAAAGUUUUGUUUUCUCUGUAAUGGGAGGAUUGGUACUCAAUUUCCUAAAUCUAUCUGUGUAAAUAUGGAACUUAAAACUGAAUUUGGCAGAUGGGAUGAUACAUAGCAUUCUGUGUCUAGUAUGACAUUGUUUGAAUUGUUUAGAUGAGUUGGAGUUUUGCUAAUGCUUUGGUUGUACCUAUGUAAGAGCAACGCAAGAAAAUUAUAUUGAUUGGAAAUGGAAGUUUUGAUUGGAAAAGCAUAUUCACAACUCACAUAUAUUCUUUUGUGCACAUAUUUAAACACAAAAUUUGUUCUUUAGAGUUUGGACUUUGGAGAUGUCUUUUUUCACUUCUAAACUUGCUGCUGUUUUGACUGAUGCUUACCAAAGUUUCUUGUCAAUUGCCACAGAUAACUCAAAUAAUAUAGAUUUUUUUUUUCUUUUCUAAAAGUAUUGAGUUCUUGCUUUUUCUUGUCAGGACUGACAAUAUGAGCCGGUGCAUUUUAAUUUCCCUUUUUCAAGUUGCAUGCUAAGUGGUAGAUAUUGUUAGACAUCUCCACAGUUUAUUGAUUUUCAUAUUUCUGCCAUUUUCUUUUACCUCCAG